RNAcentral lists this non-coding RNA (24 nucleotides) under Arabidopsis thaliana (thale cress). The record is from RNAcentral. Lineage: Eukaryota; Viridiplantae; Streptophyta; Magnoliopsida; Brassicales; Brassicaceae.
UAUGCAUGGGGCACUUCCUUGCCA